This 301-nucleotide ribosomal RNA is filed under the name uncultured bacterium. RNAcentral's name for it is "partial 16S ribosomal RNA". It matches the Rfam family "Bacterial small subunit ribosomal RNA", at positions 509 to 807 of the family's 1533-position model. The record is from RNAcentral.
CAGUCGCCACGGUAAAACGUAGGGUGCAAGCGUUAAUCGGAAUUACUGGGCGUAAAGCGUGCGCAGGCGGUUUUGUAAGACAGAGGUGAAAUCCCCGGGCUCAACCUGGGAACUGCCUUUGUGACUGCAAGGCUGGAGUGCGGCAGAGGGGGAUGGAAUUCCGCGUGUAGCAGUGAAAUGCGUAGAUAUGCGGAGGAACACCGAUGGCGAAGGCAAUCCCCUGGGCCUGCACUGACGCUCAUGCACGAAAGUGUGGGGAGCAAACAGGAUUAGAGACCCCCGUAGUCCCUGCCUCUUAUAC